GUUGUAUGGUUAAGUGACUAAGCGUACACGGUGGAUGCCUUGGCAGUCAGAGGCGAUGAAGGACGUAGUAACUUGCGAUAAGCCCAGAUUAGGUAGUAACAACCAUUUGAGUCUGGGAUUUCCGAAUGGGGAAACCCACUUACAUAAGUAAGUAUCAUUAACUGAAUACAUAGGUUAAUGAGGCGAACCGGGGGAACUGAAACAUCUAAGUACCCCGAGGAAAAGAAAUCAACCGAGAUU
RNAcentral lists this ribosomal RNA (240 nucleotides) under Vibrio parahaemolyticus. Its description in RNAcentral is "partial 23S ribosomal RNA". It matches the Rfam family "Bacterial large subunit ribosomal RNA", at positions 1 to 236 of the family's 2925-position model. The record is from RNAcentral. Lineage: Bacteria; Pseudomonadati; Pseudomonadota; Gammaproteobacteria; Vibrionales; Vibrionaceae.